This 501-nucleotide ribosomal RNA is filed under the name uncultured bacterium. RNAcentral describes it as "partial 16S ribosomal RNA". It matches the Rfam family "Bacterial small subunit ribosomal RNA", at positions 30 to 523 of the family's 1533-position model. The record is from RNAcentral.
AUUGAACGCUGGCGGCAGGCUUAACGCAUGCAAGUCGAGCGGGGGAAGGUAGCUUGCUACUGGACCUAGCGGCGGACGGGUGAGUAAUGCUUAGGAAUCUGCCUAUUAGUGGGGGACAACAUCUCGAAAGGGAUGCUAAUACCGCAUACGUCCUACGGGAGAAAGCAGGGGAUCUUCGGACCUUGCGCUAAUAGAUGAGCCUAAGUCGGAUUAGCUAGUUGGUGGGGUAAAGGCCUACCAAGGCGACGAUCUGUAGCGGGUCUGAGAGGAGGAUCCGCCACACUGGGACUGAGACACGGCCCAGACUCCUACGGGAGGCAGCAGUGGGGAAUAUUGGACAAUGGGGGGAACCCUGAUCCAGCCAUGCCGCGUGUGUGAAGAAGGCCUUAUGGUUGUAAAGCACUUUAAGCGAGGAGGAGGCUACUUUAGUUAAUACCUAGAGAUAGUGGACGUUACUCGCAGAAUAAGCACCGGCUAACUCUGUGCCAGCCGCCGCCGUAA